This 448-nucleotide ribosomal RNA is filed under the name uncultured organism. RNAcentral's name for it is "partial 16S ribosomal RNA". It matches the Rfam family "Bacterial small subunit ribosomal RNA", at positions 331 to 796 of the family's 1533-position model. The record is from RNAcentral.
GUACACUCCUACGGGAGGCAGCAGUGGGGAAUAUUGGACAAUGGGCGCAAGCCUGAUCCAGCCAUGCCGCGUGAGUGAUGAAGGCCCUAGGGUUGUAAAGCUCUUUCACCGGUGAAGAUAAUGACGGUAACCGGAGAAGAAGCCCCGGCUAACUUCGUGCCAGCAGCCGCGGUAAUACGAAGGGGGCUAGCGUUGUUCGGAUUUACUGGGCGUAAAGCGCACGUAGGCGGACUAUUAAGUCAGGGGUGAAAUCCCGGGGCUCAACCCCGGAACUGCCUUUGAUACUGGUAGUCUUGAGUUCGAGAGAGGUGAGUGGAAUUCCGAGUGUAGAGGUGAAAUUCGUAGAUAUUCGGAGGAACACCAGUGGCGAAGGCGGCUCACUGGCUCGAUACUGACGCUGAGGUGCGAAAGCGUGGGGAGCAAACAGGAUUAGAUACCCGGGUAGUCC